GGUAAUGGUCGCGAACAUUGGGCGUCUUGUAAGGGAGGACCGAGGAGGGCUUCGAGGAGUGGUGGGGAGGGAGGGAUGAGGAUUGAUCCAUGGAUAGUGAACGAAAUAUGCGAUCUUGCGCUUUCGCAAGAAAAACUGGAUUUUCAGGUGCUUAUCCUGACAAAGAUUGCUUCUUUCUGGUUUCUGAAAUGGAUUUCUUGGUCGAUGAGCUAGCUUUCAGGGAUGAGGGCCGAGGCUUCGUGCCGGUCGCAAGAAAAACUGGAUUUUUAGGUGCUUCGCCUGACAAAGAUUGCUUCUUUCUGGUUUCUGUAAUGGGUUUCUUGGACGAUGAGCUAGCUUUCAGGGCUGAGGGCGGAGACUUCUCGCCGGUCGCAAGAAAGACUGGAUUUUUAGGUGCUUCGCCUGACAAAGAUUGCUUCUUUCUGGUUUCUGGAUUGGAUUUCUUGGACGAUGAGCCAGCUUUCAGGGAUGAGGGUAGAGGCUUCUUGCCGGAGGAGGGAGAAGUUGCGAUUUAGAGUUCCACAUUUCGUAGUUCACGAGAUUUUUUGCAGUGUUGUGGUGAAGAAUAAGGGAGAAGCAGAGAGAGCGAUGGACUUGCAGGUGAAAGACCAAGGGUUGAGAACACAAAAAGGAGACCAGGUCACCUCUGCUCCUAUAGAUAGGAAAACGUAAACAAUACAAGAAUGUUUCUCUUUUUGCACCUCUCUCUCUCUCUCUCUCUGUGUUUGCAGAGUAGCCCACGGGAAAACUGAGAAAAAGUUUGAUGGGAAGAACUGAAGUCAAUUUGUGCUCACAGGGCUGAUCUUCUUGCAAUACUUUUCAAAUACCCACUGGAUUUCUGUAACAAAAAUCUUCUGGGGGAAGGAGGUCAAUGUUUUCUGACAGACUUAACAUAGAUCAUUCCAUGUGGCCAUCGUAUGAGAGAUCUCUGAAAGAUUCAGUCAAACUGAAAGGAAGAAUUAAACCUUGAUUUCAGGCGACAAUAAAUCAAUCAGCAAAAUCAUCCGUAUCAGUUGUCUGCUCUUCUCAAGACCAUC
RNAcentral lists this long non-coding RNA (1037 nucleotides) under Musa acuminata (dwarf banana). Its description in RNAcentral is "long non-coding RNA (MACU_LNC006065)". Lineage: Eukaryota; Viridiplantae; Streptophyta; Magnoliopsida; Zingiberales; Musaceae. The record is from RNAcentral.